UACGUAGGGUGCGAGCGUUAAUCGGAAUUACUGGGCGUAAAGCGUGCGCAGGCGGUUCGUUGUGUCGGCGGUGAAAGCCCCGGGCUUAACCUGGGAAUGGCCGUUGAAACUGGCGAACUGGAGUGUGGCAGGAGGGGGGUGGAAUUCCGCGUGUAGCAGUGAAAUGCGUAGAGAUGCGGAGGAACACCGAUGGCGAAGGCAGCCCCCUGGGCUGACACUGACGCUCAGGCACGAAAGCGUGGGGAGCAAACAGG
RNAcentral lists this ribosomal RNA (254 nucleotides) under uncultured bacterium. RNAcentral's name for it is "partial 16S ribosomal RNA". It matches the Rfam family "Bacterial small subunit ribosomal RNA", at positions 524 to 776 of the family's 1533-position model. The record is from RNAcentral.